GAUGAACGCUGGCGGCGUGCCUAAUACAUGCAAGUCGAGCGAACAGACGAGAGUGCUUGCACUCUCUGCCGUUAGCGGCGGACGGGUGAGUAACACGUGGGUAACCUACCUAUAAGACUGGGAUAACUUCGGGAAACCGGAGCUAAUACCGGAUAAUAUUUAGCUUCGCAUGAAGCAAUAGUGAAAGACGGUUCUGCUGUCACUUAUAGAUGGACCCGCGGUGUAUUAGCUAGUUGGUGAGGUAACGGCUCACCAAGGCAACGAUACAUAGCCGACCUGAGAGGGUGAUCGGCCACACUGGGACUGAGACACGGCCCAGACUCCUACGGGAGGCAGCAGUAGGGAAUCUUCCGCAAUGGACGAAAGUCUGACGGAGCAAUGCCGCGUGAGUGAAGAAGGUUUUCGGAUCGUAAAACUCUGUUGUAAGGGAAGAACAAGUACGUUAGUAACUGAACGUACCUUGACGGUACCUUACCAGAAAGCCACAGCUAACUACGUG
Molecule: ribosomal RNA, 499 nt
Filed under: uncultured bacterium
Lineage: Bacteria
Description: partial 16S ribosomal RNA
Rfam family: Bacterial small subunit ribosomal RNA
Source: RNAcentral